RNAcentral lists this small RNA (872 nucleotides) under Arabidopsis thaliana (thale cress). Its description in RNAcentral is "ATSL275050". The record is from RNAcentral. Lineage: Eukaryota; Viridiplantae; Streptophyta; Magnoliopsida; Brassicales; Brassicaceae.
ACAAAAUAUCAAUGGAUAUGUUCCAUUGUCCUGCUUCUUUCAUCGGAUGGCUCUCUUUGGGCUUUUCGAAAAGGUAUCAUAUGCCAAGUUUGGCCUCACUGUAUAAAAGUUAUAGAGUCAUAAAGUUUUAACCAAAGAAAAAAAUUAAAAAAAAAGAGGGAUGCAACACGAGGACUUUCCAGGAGGUCACCCAUCGUAGUACUACUCUCGCCCAAGCACGCUUAACUGCGGAGUUCUGAUGGGAUCCGGUGUAUUAGUGCUGGUAUGAUCGCAUCCGUUAGUAUAUGCAAUGCAAUCGUAUAUAUUCUUUUUUGAAGACUUGAUGAACCAUUCGCCGUGGGUCCCACACGCUAUGUAGGGAUACCCCAUCUAGUCUUAACGAGCUUUGAUGCGUGAAAAAAUUCUAAAACAAUGCUUGAACAAGUAAUUUUGGGUCCGUAAUAUAGCCCAAAUCACAAAAAUGCCCAAAAAAGUACUUAAAGGUCAAAAUUUGGGGUCGACAAAAAGUCAAUGGAAUUGUUCCAUUGUCCUGCUUCUUUCGUUAGAGGGCUCUAUUUGGGCUUUCCAAAAAGGUAUCACAUGCUAAGGUUUGCCUCACGGUAUGAAAGUUAUAGUCAUAAAGUUUUAACCAAAAAAAAACAAAUUAAAAAAAAGAGGGAUGCAACACGAGGACUUCCCGGGAGGUCACCCAUCCUAGAACAACUCUCCCCCAAACACGCUUAACUAAAGGUCAAAAUUUGGAGUCGACAAAAAAUCAAUGGAUAUGUUCCAUUGUCCUGCUUCUUUCAUUUGAGGGCUCUCUUUGGGCUUUACGAAAAGGUAUCAAAUGCCAAGUUUGGCCUCACUGUAUAAAAGUUAUAGAGUCAUAAAUU